RNAcentral lists this transfer RNA (67 nucleotides) under Tetramorium caespitum. Its description in RNAcentral is "tRNA-Ala". The record is from RNAcentral. Lineage: Eukaryota; Metazoa; Arthropoda; Insecta; Hymenoptera; Formicidae.
AGGAUUUUAGUUAAUAAUAACAUUUAAAUUGCAUUUAAAAAUUAUACAUCCAUAUGUAUAAAUCUUA